RNAcentral lists this ribosomal RNA (253 nucleotides) under uncultured bacterium. RNAcentral's name for it is "partial 16S ribosomal RNA". It matches the Rfam family "Bacterial small subunit ribosomal RNA", at positions 524 to 776 of the family's 1533-position model. The record is from RNAcentral.
UACGGAGGGAGCUAGCGUUGUUCGGAAUUACUGGGCGUAAAGCGCACGUAGGCGGCUUUGUAAGUCAGAGGUGAAAGCCUGGAGCUCAACUCCAGAACUGCCUUUGAGACUGCAUCGCUUGAAUCCAGGAGAGGUGAGUGGAACUGCGAGUGUAGAGGUGAAAUUCGUAGAUAUUCGCAAGAACACCAGUGGCGAAGGCGGCUCACUGGCCCGGUACUGACGCUGAGGUGCGAAAGCGUGGGGAGCAAACAGG